GACGCCGUGACGCCGGGCCGGUGUCUGUCCGUCUGUGUGUGUGUGUGUGUGUGUGUGUGUGUGUGUGAGUGUGAGUGUGCGGGCUCUGCGUGUUUGUAUGUGUGUCCGCCCGGCAGGUCCCGGAUGUUGCGGACAGUAUGAGGUGAGCGCACGGGGACGGGGACCAGCAGCUGUCGCGGCCGCUCUCAGAUGGGGGAGACUGAAGCAAAAAGAGAUAAAGUCAUCUGCCCUGGAUCACACAAGUCUUUGACAGAGUUGGGAAGAUGUUACAGAUGUCCUGAAUUCCAGUUCCUCGCUAUAACCUCUACACUGUGGUUCCUCCAUGUAAAUUCUUAGGAAGAAACUGAGGCCCAAGGAGUCUAAGACUUGAAGUUAGUAAGUAUCAGUGG
Molecule: long non-coding RNA, 389 nt
Organism: Vombatus ursinus (common wombat)
Lineage: Eukaryota; Metazoa; Chordata; Mammalia; Diprotodontia; Vombatidae
Exons: 3
Source: RefSeq, a predicted model, not a curated record